GAUGAACGCUGGCGGCGUGCCUAAUACAUGCAAGUAGAACGCUGAAGCUUGGUGCUUGCACCGAGCGGAUGAGUUGCGAACGGGUGAGUAACGCGUAGGUAACCUGCCUGGUAGCGGGGGAUAACUAUUGGAAACGAUAGCUAAUACCGCAUAACAGUAGAUGUUGCAUGACAUUUGCUUGAAAGGGGCAAUUGCUCCACUACCAGAUGGACCUGCGUUGUAUUAGCUAGUUGGUGAGGUAACGGCUCACCAAGGCGACGAUACAUAGCCGACCUGAGAGGGUGAUCGGCCACACUGGGACUGAGACACGGCCCAGACUCCUACGGGAGGCAGCAGUAGGGAAUCUUCGGCAAUGGACGGAAGUCUGACCGAGCAACGCCGCGUGAGUGAAGAAGGUUUUCGGAUCGUAAAGCUCUGUUGUAAGAGAAGAACGAGUGUGAGAGUGGAAAGUUCACACUGUGACGGAACUACCAGA
RNAcentral lists this ribosomal RNA (475 nucleotides) under Streptococcus sp. oral taxon 066. RNAcentral describes it as "bacterial SSU rRNA". It matches the Rfam family "Bacterial small subunit ribosomal RNA", at positions 28 to 487 of the family's 1533-position model. Lineage: Bacteria; Bacillati; Bacillota; Bacilli; Lactobacillales; Streptococcaceae. The record is from RNAcentral.